CAAUUACAGGUAUGAUCAUUUAGAUCAUUUACACCUUACAUCUUACUGUGAAGGAUAUUUUGAGGGAUUGUUUUCUCAUCCCCUUUCUUUUAUAUAGGCCCUUCCAAUCACAUGAUGCGAGCGCGGAUUACACGAACUCGUGAGUGGGUCAGCUGUGUCAGAGAUCAAGUGAGAGAUCUUAUUAUUCCUCUUGAAAGUACCUCAAAAACUCAUGUCUUGUCUAGCUAGGUUCUCUAAAGAUAGCCCUGUUCCUAUUUAUCAGUAGAGAUAGGAGUGGACCGUCCGAUGGCAGCUUGUUUGAGAGAGCAAGUUCAACCCGGCCUUGGACCCAAGUUGGAGAGAGAACUCAUAGUCAUACGGAAACAACAACAACAGAUUUUGAUACAGAAGAUGGCAGAGCGGACUGCACACAUGGACCUGAACUUCUUGACCACAGCAUGAACUUGAUGAAGUAGUGGUGGAAGAAUUCACAUGGUAUAACCUCCUUGGUACGGAAGACGAGAGUGAAGAUCAUGAUGGAAAUGUGAUUCAAGUUGAGGAGGAACGCACAGAUGAGUACUACUGUUUUGCCUUGAAUUUAAAAAGAAUCAAUUAAUGGCAGUCUCUGCACUAUCGUGCACUGAUCUUCCCAACAAACAGAAACACAUUAUGAAAAAUCAAUACAGUAUUUGAUUGCAACUGAUGUGUAGGGUAAGGAGGCGAAUUGGAAAGAGUCGUCUGCUAUUUUGUAAAUGAUCUUUAAUAGGAACGGGGGCAAAUUUGAAACGCAUGGUCUACUGUUUUUGUAAAUGAUCUUGAAUGGGGAGGGGAGGCUAAUUCAAAUGCACCAUGACCAUCUUCUACAAUUUUGUCAGUAAUCUUGAAAAGGAAAGAGGGCC
This is a long non-coding RNA of Branchiostoma floridae (Florida lancelet), 878 nucleotides long. RefSeq lists it as uncharacterized. The record is from RefSeq and is a predicted model, not a curated record. Lineage: Eukaryota; Metazoa; Chordata; Leptocardii; Amphioxiformes; Branchiostomatidae. The transcript is spliced from 3 exons.